Molecule: ribosomal RNA, 357 nt
Filed under: uncultured bacterium
Lineage: Bacteria
Description: bacterial SSU rRNA
Rfam family: Bacterial small subunit ribosomal RNA
Source: RNAcentral
AGAGUUUGAUCCUGGCUCAGGAUGAACGCUAGCUACAGGCUUAACACAUGCAAGUCGAGGGGAAACGACAUCGAAAGCUUGCUUUUGAUGGGCGUCGACCGGCGCACGGGUGAGUAACGCGUAUCCAACCUGCCCACCACUUGGGGAGUAACCUUGCGAAAGUAAGACUAAUACCCAAUGAUAUCUCUAGAAGACAUCUGAAAGAGAUUAAAGAUUCAUCGGUGAUGGAUGGGGAUGCGUCUGAUUAGCUUGUUGGCGGGGUAACGGCCCACCAAGGCAACGAUCAGUAGGGGUUCUGAGAGGAAGGUCCCCCACAUUGGAACUGAGACACGGUCCAAACUCCUACGGGAGGAUGCA